AAGCCGAGGCCGAUAGGCGUAGGCGAUGGACAACAGGUAGAGAUUCCUGUACCAGUGCUAAUUGUUUAACCGAUGGGGUGACACAGAAGGAUAGGGAAUCGCACGAAUGGAAAUGUGCGUCCAAGCAGUGAGUGUGAGAAGUAGGCAAAUCCGCUUCUCGCGAAGCAUGAGCUGUGAUGGGGAAGGAAAUUAAGUACGGAAGUUCCUGAUUUCACGCUGUCAAGAAAAGCCUCUAGGAAGAGUAGUACUGCCCGUACCGCAAACCGACACAGGUAGAUGAGGAGAGAAUCCUAAGGUGAGCGAGAGAACUCUCGUUAAGGAACUCGGCAAAAUGACCCCGUAACUUCGGGAGAAGGGGUGCUCUAUUAGGGUGCAAGCCCGAGAGAGCCGCAGUGAAUAGGCCCAGGCGACUGUUUAGCAAAAACACAGGUCUCUGCAAAACCGUAAGGUGACGUAUAGGGGCUGACGCCUGCCCGGUGCUGGAAGGUUAAGAGGAGUGCUUAGCUUCGGCGAAGGUACGAAUUGAAGCCCCAGUAAACGGCGGCCGUAACUAUAACGGUCCUAAGGUAGCGAAAUUCCUUGUCGGGUAAGUUCCGACCCGCACGAAAGGCGCAACGAUCUGGGCACUGUCUCAACGAGAGACUCGGUGAAAUUAUAGUACCUGUGAAGAUGCAGGUUACCCGCGACAGGACGGAAAGACCCCGUGGAGCUUUACUGCAACCUGAUAUGGAAUGUUUGUACCGCUUGUACAGGAUAGGUAGGAGCCGAAGAGACGUGUGCGCUAGCAUACGAGGAGGCAAUGGUGGGAUACUACCCUGGCUGUAUGACCAUUCUAACCCGCCACGCUUAGCGCGUGGGGAGACAGUGUCAGGUGGGCAGUUUGACUGGGGCGGUCGCCUCCUAAAGAGUAACGGAGGCGCCCAAAGGUUCCCUCAGAAUGGAUGGAAAUCAUUCGCAGAGUGUAAAGGCACAAGGGAGCUUGACUGCGAGACUGACAAGUCGAGCAGGGACGAAAGUCGGGCUUAGUGAUCCGGUGGUUCCGCAUGGAAGGGCCAUCGCUCAACGGAUAAAAGCUACCCCGGG
RNAcentral lists this ribosomal RNA (1083 nucleotides) under Listeria marthii FSL S4-120. Its description in RNAcentral is "bacterial LSU rRNA". It matches the Rfam family "Bacterial large subunit ribosomal RNA", at positions 1393 to 2472 of the family's 2925-position model. The record is from RNAcentral. Lineage: Bacteria; Bacillati; Bacillota; Bacilli; Caryophanales; Listeriaceae.